This 686-nucleotide ribosomal RNA is filed under the name Streptomyces sp. MC_MPS_6a. RNAcentral describes it as "bacterial SSU rRNA". It matches the Rfam family "Bacterial small subunit ribosomal RNA", at positions 98 to 797 of the family's 1533-position model. The record is from RNAcentral. Lineage: Bacteria; Bacillati; Actinomycetota; Actinomycetes; Kitasatosporales; Streptomycetaceae.
GUGAACGGGUGAGUAACACGUGGGCAAUCUGCCCUUCACUCUGGGACAAGCCCUGGAAACGGGGUCUAAUACCGGAUACGACGCGCUCGGGCAUCCGAUGUGCGUGGAAAGCUCCGGCGGUGAAGGAUGAGCCCGCGGCCUAUCAGCUUGUUGGUGAGGUAACGGCUCACCAAGGCGACGACGGGUAGCCGGCCUGAGAGGGCGACCGGCCACACUGGGACUGAGACACGGCCCAGACUCCUACGGGAGGCAGCAGUGGGGAAUAUUGCACAAUGGGCGAAAGCCUGAUGCAGCGACGCCGCGUGAGGGAUGACGGCCUUCGGGUUGUAAACCUCUUUCAGCAGGGAAGAAGCGAAAGUGACGGUACCUGCAGAAGAAGCGCCGGCUAACUACGUGCCAGCAGCCGCGGUAAUACGUAGGGCGCGAGCGUUGUCCGGAAUUAUUGGGCGUAAAGAGCUCGUAGGCGGUCUGUCGCGUCGGAUGUGAAAGCCCGGGGCUUAACCCCGGGUCUGCAUUCGAUACGGGCAGACUAGAGUGUGGUAGGGGAGAUCGGAAUUCCUGGUGUAGCGGUGAAAUGCGCAGAUAUCAGGAGGAACACCGGUGGCGAAGGCGGAUCUCUGGGCCAUUACUGACGCUGAGGAGCGAAAGCGUGGGGAGCGAACAGGAUUAGAUACCCUGGUAGUCCA